UGCCCAGACUCCUACGGGAGGCAGCAGUGGGGAAUAUUGCACAAUGGGGGAAACCCUGAUGCAGCGACGCCGCGUGAGUGAAGAAGAAUUUCGGUAUGUAAAGCUCUAUCAGCAGGGAAGAAAAUGACGGUACCUGACUAAGAAGCCCCGGCUAACUACGUGCCAGCAGCCGCGGUAAUACGUAGGGGGCAAGCGUUAUCCGGAUUUACUGGGUGUAAAGGGAGCGUAGACGGCAUGGCAAGUCAGAUGUGAAAGCCCGGGGCUCAACCCCGGGACUGCAUUUGAAACUGUCAGGCUGGAGUGCAGGAGAGGUAAGUGGAAUUCCUAGUGUAGCGGUGAAAUGCGUAGAUAUUAGGAGGAACACCAGUGGCGAAGGCGGCUUGCUGGACCGUAACUGACGUUGAGGCUCGAAAGCGUGGGGAGCAAACAGGAUUAGAUACCCUAGUACG
This 449-nucleotide ribosomal RNA is filed under the name uncultured bacterium. RNAcentral's name for it is "bacterial SSU rRNA". It matches the Rfam family "Bacterial small subunit ribosomal RNA", at positions 328 to 793 of the family's 1533-position model. The record is from RNAcentral.